Cyanistes caeruleus (blue tit) is the source of this 924-nucleotide non-coding RNA. NCBI's taxonomy places the organism in Eukaryota, Metazoa, Chordata, Aves, Passeriformes, Paridae. The record is from RefSeq and is a predicted model, not a curated record.
AUUAAGCCACAAGUUGGAGUUUUACUAUCAAUGUAGUAAAAGAACAUCUGAGAAUAAGUAUAGAUUUUGCAGUUUCUGACUUAAUGUGUGAACUCGGAAAGUACAGUUGUGACUUCUAGAAUCUUUUCUUCUGAAUUAGAACUUUGGGUAGUUCAUGAUAAACUUUUGGCUUCAUACUGAUUUGUUGUUUUUUCAAUUUACAUGAAAUCUUCGAUUUGCACACAGAAACCAUUAUCUUUGGUAUUUAUGGAGCUUUACAGACUACUAAGGGAUGGUCAGACACUGGAAGAAGUUGCCUGCACAGGCUUUGUAAUCUCCAUCCAUGGAGACUGGCUGAACAUAGUCCUGAGUAACCUAUUCUAAUUAUACCUGUUGGAACAGGAGGUUGGACUAGAUAAUGUCUACAGGUCCCUCCCAGACUUAAUUACUCCUGUGACUCAAAUGAUAAGUUACUCCUCCCUAGCAAGCAGGAAGCAUAAGUUUCUCCUUCAAAGACAGUAAUCUCCUUUAGAAAUUGUUAGACCAGGUAACAGCACAAUGACAAUUUCUGACAUAGGAGGUAUACUGUAGUUUACUAGUGCAAUUUCCUUUAGAAACCCACAUUCUUCAAAUUUUUUGCUAUACUUAUAUUCUAUACAGUUUAAUUCAGAAAUUAUAUUAAACCCAGAACACCAUGAGUAGAUAAUAUGUGUUUCAAGAGAUUUGCUUAACAGACUCAGAAUAGUGAAGGAAAAUGUUUAGGUCUCUUAGACAGAAUUUGUAGGCACAAUAUAGUUCCCUACUUUACAUUUUUAAUAGUCUUCCAAAUAAACCCUGCAUUGGUUAGUAUAACAGUAAGUGGUUGUUUCUUUGGAAGAUGGUUUCCCUACAAAAUACUUCUCCAGUGUCAUCUUCAAUAAUAAUAAAGGUGUUUUACCUUGGGUA